This is a long non-coding RNA of Zingiber officinale, 178 nucleotides long. RefSeq lists it as uncharacterized. The record is from RefSeq and is a predicted model, not a curated record. NCBI's taxonomy places the organism in Eukaryota, Viridiplantae, Streptophyta, Magnoliopsida, Zingiberales, Zingiberaceae. The transcript has 3 exons.
UGCCGAGCCCUAAUUUGUUCUUCACUGCCGUGCCCUAGGUUUUCCCCUUGCUGGUGAGUGAGGUUUGGUGUCAACGGGAUUAAGCUGUUGUUGGAGCUGAGGAAUCUGAUCAUUAUUCGUACACUUAGGACAUUGAUUCGAGACGGUGUCUCGACGAGGGAUCAAUUUCGGAUUGGAC